GAUGAAGAACGUAGCGAAAUGCGAUAAGUAAUGUGAAUUGCAGAAUUCAGUGAAUCAUCGAAUCUUUGAACGCACAUUGCGCCCCUUGGUAUUCCGAGGGGCAUGCCUAUUCGAGCGUCAUUAUCACCCCUCAAGCCUAGCUUGGUGUUGAGGCCUGCUGUCAAGGCAGCCUCUAAAAUCAGUGGCAGUGCUGUCAGGCUCUAAGCGUAGUAAAUCUAAUCGCUAUAGACACCUGGUGGACACUCGCCAGAACCCACCCAUUUUUUAAUGAUUGACCUCGGAUUAGGUAGGGAUACCCGCUGAACUUAAGCAUAUCAAUAAGCGGAGGA
This 329-nucleotide unclassified non-coding RNA is filed under the name soil metagenome. Its description in RNAcentral is "partial contains 5.8S ribosomal RNA, internal transcribed spacer 2, and large subunit ribosomal RNA". The stretch from base 1 to 120 matches the Rfam family "5.8S ribosomal RNA", at positions 35 to 154 of the family's 154-position model. The record is from RNAcentral.